RNAcentral lists this transfer RNA (77 nucleotides) under Candidatus Falkowbacteria bacterium CG10_big_fil_rev_8_21_14_0_10_43_11. Its description in RNAcentral is "tRNA-Val". It matches the Rfam family "tRNA". Rfam says of the family: Transfer RNA (tRNA) molecules are approximately 80 nucleotides in length. The record is from RNAcentral. Lineage: Bacteria; Candidatus Falkowiibacteriota.
GCACGCAUAGCUCAGUUGGUUAGAGCGCCACGUUCACAUCGCGGAGGUCUCUGGUUCAAAUCCAGAUGCGUGCACAA